Molecule: ribosomal RNA, 484 nt
Filed under: uncultured bacterium
Lineage: Bacteria
Description: partial 16S ribosomal RNA
Rfam family: Bacterial small subunit ribosomal RNA
Source: RNAcentral
AUUGAACGCUGGCGGCAGGCCUAACACAUGCAAGUCGAGCGGAUGAAGGGAGCUUGCUCCUGGAUUCAGCGGCGGACGGGUGAGUAAUGCCUAGGAAUCUGCCUGGUAGUGUGGGAUAACGUCCGGAAACGGGCGCUAAUACCGCAUACGUCCUGAGGGAGAAAGUGGGGGAUCUUCGGACCUCACGCUAUCAGAUGAGCCUAGGUCGGAUUAGCUAGUUGGUGGGGUAAAGGCCUACCAAGGCGACGAUCCGUAACUGGUCUGAGAGGAUGAUCAGUCACACUGGAACUGAGACACGGUCCAGACUCCUACGGGAGGAAGCAGUGGGGAAUAUUGGACAAUGGGCGAAAGCCUGAUCCAGCCAUGCCGCGUGUGUGAAGAAGGUAUUCGGAUUGUAAAGCACUUUAAGUUGGGAGGAAGGGCAGUAAGUUAAUACCUUGCUGUUUUGACGUUACCAACAGAAUAAGCACCGGCUAACUUCGUG